GAUGAAGAACGUAGUGAAAUGCGAUAAGUAAUGCGAAUUGCAGAAUCCGUGAGUCAUCGAAUCUUUGAACGCACAUUGCGCCCUCUGGUAUUCCGGAGGGCAUGCCUGUUCGAGCGUCAUUAUCACCCCUCAAGCCCGGCUUGUUGUUGGAUGCAGCGCUUAUCCCGCUCCUCCCAAAGAUAAUGACGGCGUCUGCGACGACUCCUGUACACUGAGCUUUCGGGCACGUACACGGCUAGAAGUCCAGACCCGGUCGCCGUCCCCCCCGCGGGGACAUCCAUUACCACAAGGUUGACCUCGGAUCAGGUAGGAAUACCCGCUGAACUUAAGCAUAUCAAUAAGCGGAGGA
This 349-nucleotide unclassified non-coding RNA is filed under the name soil metagenome. RNAcentral describes it as "partial contains 5.8S ribosomal RNA, internal transcribed spacer 2, and large subunit ribosomal RNA". The stretch from base 1 to 119 matches the Rfam family "5.8S ribosomal RNA", at positions 35 to 154 of the family's 154-position model. The record is from RNAcentral.